CCUAGGGUGGCUGCAGUGGGGAAUAUUGCACAAUGGAGGAAACUCUGAUGCAGCAACGCCGCGUGGAGGAUGACACUUUUCGGAGCGUAAACUCCUUUUAUAUAGGAAGAAGAUGACGGUACUAUAUGAAUAAGCGCCGGCUAACUCCGUGCCAGCAGCCGCGGUAAUACGGAGGGCGCAAGCGUUACUCGGAAUCACUGGGCGUAAAGAGCGUGUAGGCGGAUUAAAAAGUCAGAAGUGAAAUCCUAUAGCUUAACUAUAGAACUGCUUCUGAAACUCUUAAUCUAGAAUAUGGGAGAGGUAGAUGGAAUUUCUGGUGUAGGGGUAAAAUCCGUAGAGAUCAGAAGGAAUACCGAUUGCGAAGGCGAUCUACUAGAACAUUAUUGACGCUGAGACGCGAAAGCGUGGGGAGCAAACAGGAUUAGAUACCCUCGUAGUC
RNAcentral lists this ribosomal RNA (439 nucleotides) under uncultured bacterium. RNAcentral's name for it is "partial 16S ribosomal RNA". It matches the Rfam family "Bacterial small subunit ribosomal RNA", at positions 338 to 795 of the family's 1533-position model. The record is from RNAcentral.